This 274-nucleotide ribosomal RNA is filed under the name uncultured bacterium. RNAcentral describes it as "partial 16S ribosomal RNA". It matches the Rfam family "Bacterial small subunit ribosomal RNA", at positions 523 to 796 of the family's 1533-position model. The record is from RNAcentral.
CUACGGAGGGUGCAAGCGUUAUUCGGAAUCACUGGGCGUAAAGGACGCGUAGGCGGGUUGGCAAGUCAGAUGUGAAAUCCUACAGCUUAACUGUAGAACUGCAUUUGAAACUGCUAACCUAGAGUAUGGGAGGGGGAGAUGGAAUUAGUGGUGUAGGAGUAAAAUCCGUAGAUAUCACUAGGAAUACCGAAAGCGAAGGCGAUCUCCUGGAACAUAACUGACGCUAAGGCGUGAAAGCGUGGGGAGCAAACAGGAUUAGAAACCCUAGUAGUCC